GCAGCCCUGCAAACAGCAUCGUCUCUGGAUGUGAGAGACAGUCGCCAGCUGGGGGGAAUCUCCUCUUUGCCCAAAGGAAAGGAGCGUAUAGAGAUGCAUGGUGCUCUGCCCCGCAGGACGUUGUUGCGGGACGGUUGGCUGCAUCCCCUUCUUACAGACCCUGACUGUUCGCCAUCAGAUGAUAACGCACGCUGGAUGUCUUAGGUGCAACCUGGAGUUUCUCCCCACAAGCAAUGACAAGGGUGAGAGCCCAGUUUUGUAUUCUUCAGCUCAUUAAUAAAUGAACGGACUGGAAUGUUUUUCUUUUG
Long non-coding RNA from Spea bombifrons (plains spadefoot toad), 308 nucleotides. RefSeq lists it as uncharacterized. The transcript has 3 exons. The record is from RefSeq and is a predicted model, not a curated record. NCBI's taxonomy places the organism in Eukaryota, Metazoa, Chordata, Amphibia, Anura, Pelobatidae.